AACGUGACUAAUACACUGGACACUGCUUCAUGGAGUUGUUGAAUGGGAAACAGAAAAAACAGCUCAAACCCCUUCGUCGGGACUCUCAAGCAGUGUCUCAGUCUGAAUAUUAAAUGAAGCAAAAAUCUACACUCUUUUUCUACUAGGCACACUAAAAACAACAAAAAGGAGGUGGCAGAACAUUGCAGGACCGUGCCCAGGAACAGAGAGAAAUAUUUUAUUGUACUAUUGGUAUUGGAAUAAUUCCCUAAAACGGUAACUGACUGAAAUACCACAGUUUUAAGUUUUUAGCCUGAAACUUUAGUAUUGCCACAAACCAUCCUUCUAAUGCAACCUUGCAUCCUUCUAAACUAAUGCAGCUUGCCUGUUUAGUGCAAGUUCUCUUCGCAGGACACUUUCUUUGCUCUCUUUUGGAUUUCUGCAGAUUCACAGGACAAUCUGGACGCAUGGACUGGAGCAAAGAUACGAAGCCUAGGUAUUUUUGCUACCUCCCCACACCCUUCAUAGUUCAAAGAGCGGCAAUGAAUGCUGCUAAGAGACCACAGCACUGCGUGCGCCACACAGAG
RNAcentral lists this long non-coding RNA (566 nucleotides) under Struthio camelus australis. RNAcentral describes it as "lncRNA (ENSSCUG00000002534.1)". The record is from RNAcentral. Lineage: Eukaryota; Metazoa; Chordata; Aves; Struthioniformes; Struthionidae.